Molecule: long non-coding RNA, 5091 nt
Organism: Xiphias gladius (swordfish)
Lineage: Eukaryota; Metazoa; Chordata; Actinopteri; Istiophoriformes; Xiphiidae
Exons: 3
Source: RefSeq, a predicted model, not a curated record
AUCAGAGCAUGGCCUCAAAAUACAGGCUGGCAGGGACUGCAACGCCAGUGAUCGCAAUGUCAGGAGGAAAGUGUCUUUGUUGUUGUUGUGGAAAGAGGUCAACAUUAGACACCAGUGGGUAUAAUUCGUAUUUUUGGAACGCAUACAGCAGUAAAACCUCUGCAUGUUUGUCUGGACUUUGCAUUUCACGUCCAGGUUCAACAACCACGGCCCGCCAGCUGGCUGGCCAGGACUGUCAGUUAUGCUGCUAGUGAAGGACAGGCAGUUCCAACUUUAUUGGAUUAUCUGAGUGACCUGAUGAAGCUCGUUUGAUGAGGUGUUCCUGGACCCACCAGACUCUCCUCACAGUGUGAGAUACCGUCAGAAAAAGAAGUUAUCAUUGGGCAGAUGUUGUGCUUCAGUAUAGUGAUGCCCUGAAGACAACAGCAGCCAGCAACAUCAGCAAGGUCUUGGGGUAUCCACAGGAACAGCUAUAAAAGGAGAACCAGGGACUUACACCUGGUCUUAAGCUAAGUCAGUUGUAACUUGGCAUUCUAAAUCCGACCUAAGUGCUACACCAAUUGCACCAUCUAGGCUUAAGCCUUCUUCUCACUAAGACCGGGCAUAAAUCUUACGCCUAGUCAGGAGCAGGCGCAAAGUCAAAAUAAAGCUUGUAACAGUAAAUGCAGUGGCAUACCUCAUAUAUUGACUUUACAACGAGCGGGCUUUUAGACCAAAGAGCGGGAUAGAAGCAAUCCACUGAACGGAUCAAACAAUGACGACCUGAUUUAGAGGUUUCGAUUCUAUGGGGGAGAUCUAUUUGAACUUAAUGAAGAGCUGUCACAAGACUUGCAGUUUGUAUCGCAGCAUUGUCAUCCAAAUUGCACGUUGCUCCUUAUAGCACUUUGUUUUCACGCAAACUUUGCGUUUCAAAAUACUGUUGGAGACAUGACCAGCAUCCGUAAGUCCACCACAUAUCGGGCCAUUUGCAAGGUGUCACUGGCACUGAGCCAUUGCCCUCCAUGGUAUUCUAACUUCCCCGCUGAAGCGGAGUAAGCUGCGAUGAAACAACAAUUCUGCCGGGACUCCAGCAUUCCUGGCAUCGUGGGCUGCAUUGAUGGGACUCAUGUCCAGAUCCGGGCGCUAUCUGAGCAUGAGUAUCUUUAUGUCAACAGCAAGACAUACCGAAAAAAUAAAUGGUCAGAUUGCUUGCAACACCAAUUAUAAUAUCUUUACUUUGGAGGCAAGAUAGCCUGGAUCUACCUAUGAUGCAUGCAUCCUCCAGGAGAAUGUGUUAUGCAGGACCUCAAGGCUGGAUGCAUAAACAGACUGCUUUGUGGCGUCAGUGGCUACCCACUGAAACGCUGGCUGAUGACAAAAUAAUGGCUCAGAGGACUGAGCAAGAACAUUGAUUUAACACCACCCACCACUAGGUCAUGUGUUGAGCGAUGCAUCAGAGUGCUCAAGUGCAGGUUUCAAUGUCUCCACAGGGAGAUGCGGAUAUACUCUGAGAGAGUCUGCACCAUAAUAACAGCAUGAGCUGUCCUCUACAACAUCUGUGUCACCAAGAGGAUCCCUGUCCCCAGGUAACACCAUCAGCCGGUGUAAGGAGGAAGAUGUGCACCCUGUGGUCCCUGCAAAGCAUGAGGAUGUUGGUGGAUGACUAGUGCAUACACACAUUGUUAAUGCCUUAUAAAUUCAGACAGAUAUCACUAAUGUUUCAAAACAUCUUGAUCAGCUCCUUCUUGUUCAACUAUUUUCAAUGUAUUGCUUCAGUUCAUAAUCAUUUCCGGCUAAAUGUCUGCUCGUUCUAAAGAAAGAUAAAGGAUUUACAAAACGUAUAUAAAGAAAGGACAGUGAUGCUUAUAAAUAAAUAUUUUAUUGUUUACAUUAGAUUGUGGUUGAUUAUUAUUGUUAUCAUUAUUCAGUUCAAAAAUAACUCUCGGCUAAAUACCAGCUUGUGGUAAAAAAAAUUAUAAAGCUCAUACAAAGAAAACCUAUAUAGAAUGAAAAGCAAUGUAUGUUAAAUAAAUAUAUUAGACCUAUGGUUUACAUAGAUUGUGGUUGAUUAUUAUUAAUAUCAAUUAAAUUUAAUUCAAAACAACAUAGGACUGCUCCUCCUCUUCAAAAAUACAAGAGGAAGGCCUGUUUAGUUGUUGUUGGAGCAACUGUCUUUCUAAUGCUAUUUUCUGUUUUUCCCGCUCCAGCUUUUCCUGCUCCAUCUCUAAUUUUUUGGUUUCAGCCUCCACACAUUUCCUUUUCAAGCAGUAUCUGCUGAAGAUCAUCCUGUCUCCACCGUUUCAUUGGUGGCACUCUGCUGCUGCCAUAAGAAAUUUGUGGAGGAAUGGCAUCUGUCGAGCCUGAAAUCAAAUAGCAAAUUCAUUAAAUCUGGCCUAUACAGUUAUGAUGACAAUGACAAUUUCUAAGACUUAGCCUAGCUAGAAGCACAGUUUAUUAACAGAUUUUAUUUUUAGUUUAUUUAGCUAUUAUUAAACCAACUAAAUAAAUAAAUGGGUAGUUUAUGUGAAAUACACACCUUCACAAUUCACAGUAACAGUACUGCUCUUGUUGCUCGUUAGAACGACACCAAUCUCUGGAGAGACAUCACUCUUUUCCAGCAGUUGAUCAGUACUGCCACUUUCCACGGCGACCAAACCAGUAAAAGCAGGUGAAUCCUCUCCAAAACUAUCAAAAACUAUGCUGCUAUAUAGUGAUUUUUCCGUAAGAGGAUACCCAAUGGUUUGAUGGAUUUUUUUCAAAGUAGCGUCUUUAUUUGCCUUGCUCAGGAGGUCUUCGUUUUCUGAACGAAAGUUGCCCAAGUAAGAACAACCCUUAUGGCUUUAUGAUGCACACUGCUAGGCAAAAGCCAUAGUCUCGUGGGCACUCACAUGAACACACAUUGCUAAGACCAGGCAUAGGUAAGACUAGGCUGCUUUUUUUUUUUUAAAUAGCAGAGUGCAACUGCUGCUCUCACUGUCAAAAUUUUUCUCAUUCUCCGAUAGCCAUCUAACAAUGUAACAGCGUUUGACUGCUCACCAAAAUUUUUGUUCAGUUGGACAUCUGUAGACAGCUCACUCCUCACUCUCAUUCCAAUCACACAAUUAUUUUCUCUGGCAGUUAACAUUUUUCAGACUCCAGUCUUUUUGAGCUCGUUAUCUGUGACAGAUGUAUUGUAUUUCUGCAGUAGAGAUGUCAGGAGAUGCUAAGAACUCAUUUUUACUCAUCAUGAAUUUACUUCCUCUGUGGCAGCAGAACAUGUUACACCACCAGCCUUCAGAAACUCCUGCAGGUUAAACUGAACUAACAAAACACUUUUAAGACUGAUUAACUCUGAAAGACUACCUAUAGUCGGACUCAAAAUCACUCACUAGCCUAGCAAAAUAUUAAGGCUACAAAUAACCCAUAAUGCAACACUCUUUGAAAGGCCAGAGUUACACGGAACAUGUGACUGUCUAGUCCUGGAAUAUAGGACAACCCCCACAUUUUUAAACCUAAGUUUCAGAAAGAAAAUACUGUCUUAUAUUAAGGCCAAUACGUUAUACUUUCUCUCCAGAGUGGAAAAGAAUUCUCAGCAUAGUUUUUGCCAUUCAUUUGGUUAAGGCACUACACAAAAAUGCUUAGGCACUGUGCCUGAGUCAAAUGAUAGCAGGGAAAACCCUGGUCUAUUUAUUGUGUUGCAGAGAUAUCUACUGUGUUUAGCAUGAUGACCGGCUAGCCUCGGCCCCUCUCACCUCAUAACAACACUGUAUACCUCAACAUCAUAUAAAUUAUUAGAAAAUUACAUCAGAGAGGGAGAACUGUGUGAAGGAAAAAUGGUAGGAAGAACUUAAUACACACAUUUCAGAUGAAGAGUGGAUAGAAAUUUUCAUAGAAAUGAAAAUCUCAUUUUUGGAAAGAAUACACAUGGAAAAUGGUGGACAAAAGCCGAGUAUCUACUGUAUUAAGAAUAUUAAAAUAAUGACCGCUUUGAAAUUAAUUACAAAGAGAUAGCCACCAAAAAAACACUCCCACACCUAUCAAAUUGGAUAGAAAUGGUGGAGUAAAUUCAACAUAUGAAAAAAUAACAUAAAAUAAGAGGUAAUAUUUUAUUGUAUGAAUAAAGACUGAUAAGGUAGCUAAAUUAUGUUUCAACCUGCAGUGAACUGUCUCCAACUACCUGAGGUAAACUAAGCUUGGUUUGUUCAUUUUUAUUUUAUUUUUGUUUAUUAAUUAUUAAUAUUAAUUAAGGGGUGCACCUUACACUAAUUGGAUAUAUAUGUAUAUAAGUUUACAAGUAUGUAAAUUUCACCCUCUCCUCCCUCUGUCAAUCUUCACUACCUUGCUGGCUAACAGUCAGUCAUUUAGAAAUAGCUUAACUGACCAUUUAAAUCACAACUAAAAUGGACACUGAAUAUUUUUAUACAUCUAUCUUAAUUGUCAGGAUUGCAAACCUCCAGCAGUUCCUGAAGUUUCUCAUCAUUGAUUAAACCUACUCGACCAACAUUUCACUCACAUUUCACCUUAUUAUUUCUGCUCUCACCUGAGGUUGCACUGACCUGUUAAACAAUUAACAGUGAACUAUAGAGUUUAGAAGUUCCAUCAACUUACCAAAAACCUUGAAUCUUCACUUAGUCUGCAUUGUUUGUUUCUACCAUCUUUCUAGACCUUUCACCAACAGUGUUAUAGCUGCUUCAUCAAACCACAAUCUUUCUGCUAACAGAAGUCCGUCCGACCAGUUGUCAUAUCCUUAUCCAUUGAAGUCCUUAUUUGUUAUGUCGGUGCUGCAUCUGUCCAUGUAAAGCCAACUGUUAUACCCUGAUGUUUAUCUCCAACCCAGUAUAAGUGUAGUAGUCUUGUUCCAUUGUAGUAGUCUGAUCUCACAAUUUAAAGACGUCUGCUGUUGUGCUCAUUGAAGGCUGUUUUCCCCCGGCUUAAGAAGGAAUCUAGCAAUCUUUGUGGGCAGGAUUAAGAAUGGGGACGUUAUCUUCAAACACAGCUAGCUAUACCUAGCUACAGCCAUAAAAAAAGUGAUAGAAAAAUGGCCACAACAAUGGCAUUUAGUGUGAAUUUUUUUUCUGCAUUGCCGCAACUAUCCUGCGUCCUGCGUUAUUGAGCUCCCUGUGUUGAGCAAAU